GUAACUACAUUUUUAUAUGAUACGGCCUUUUUUUCUUAGUAUUGCUGCUGGUAUGGUUCCUCCUUCCUGUGCAAUGAGCCAGUUCAGAGAACUGAAAAUGAAGCACAGCAAAAGUUCUGAAUAGCAACCCUGGAACAGAGUGGGCUUGUUGACUUCAUUCUGCAGCUGCAUGAAAAAUCUGCCUCUAACCCUGCAGCUUCAAGAAGACAGCGCAGCAUCUGUUCACAUAAAAGAUAGCUUUGAGCUUGUCUUUUUUAAAUAAUGAGAAAUUUAAACUACUGGGUUUGAAUGGAAACUUGGAAACAGGUUACUUGGCUUCCCUCAUUUGCCAAGGAAAGUUUUCCACUUAUCUUUGACAAAGGACUGGAUGGAUUUUCUUCAAUUUAAAUAAUUUUGCUGCACAUGUGGAGAAAUCAGCAUCUAAUUUAUGAGACACUUCAAUUUUGAUAUAAUAAUUAUGUGAAUCUGUUUUUAGUUAAGGUACAAAGUCUGAUUUUUAUGGGAUGGCUCUUUCUAUAUGCAUCCCUUUAUAUUCGUUUGCUCAUCGCCAUGAUAGCUUCCUAUCAGUUUGCCAACACUAUGCACUUCACAGAAGUUAUGGUUAACCCAGGGACCAAAUGCAGAGUGCCAGGGAGCAACAUCUGGGUAUCUGAUUUCCAUGGGAUCAUGCAUAGUUCUGUUCUGAUAAAGUUUAAUGCAUCAUGUUUAAAAAAAAAAAAAA
Cyanistes caeruleus (blue tit) is the source of this 721-nucleotide non-coding RNA. Lineage: Eukaryota; Metazoa; Chordata; Aves; Passeriformes; Paridae. The record is from RefSeq and is a predicted model, not a curated record.